This 419-nucleotide long non-coding RNA is filed under the name Androctonus crassicauda. Lineage: Eukaryota; Metazoa; Arthropoda; Arachnida; Scorpiones; Buthidae. The record is from RNAcentral.
AUCUUUUUCAUAAGAGGUGAAGCGAAAAGAAUUUGAAUUUCUUAUUUGAAGUAAGAGUUAAUUACAUUGAGCCAACAAAAGAAUGAACAUUAUAUAUGAGUCACCAAGCAAAAUCUCAAGAAAGGCUAAGUGAAAACCAUAAUGACAUAAUGCAAGGUAAGUUGAUGAUUGCUUUGACAAGAAGAUAUUAUAAAAGUAAUAUUGUAAUAAAAUGGCAAAAAGCAAGAGUAUUGAGAGAAUGUACUGAACAGAAAGAGGGAUUAAUGAGUGAAACAAUUGAAAUUAUUAAAAAAGAUUACUAUAAUGGCAUGAUGAUGAUUGUAGAAAAGGGGGGUUUUAAACAGCACCCAUCACUAACCACCCAAUGAUCUGUUUUGCAUUUCUAAAGGGAUCAUCCCAUGGGAAGUCCUGUCUUACAU